RNAcentral lists this ribosomal RNA (1297 nucleotides) under Staphylococcus aureus. Its description in RNAcentral is "partial 23S ribosomal RNA". It matches the Rfam family "Bacterial large subunit ribosomal RNA", at positions 1603 to 2903 of the family's 2925-position model. The record is from RNAcentral. Lineage: Bacteria; Bacillati; Bacillota; Bacilli; Caryophanales; Staphylococcaceae. RNAcentral also lists the same sequence under 1 other name.
CACUGCCGAGAAAAGCCUCUAGAUAGAAAAUAGGUGCCCGUACCGCAAACCGACACAGGUAGUCAAGAUGAGAAUUCUAAGGUGAGCGAGCGAACUCUCGUUAAGGAACUCGGCAAAAUGACCCCGUAACUUCGGGAGAAGGGGUGCUCUUUAGGGUUAACGCCCAGAAGAGCCGCAGUGAAUAGGCCCAAGCGACUGUUUAUCAAAAACACAGGUCUCUGCUAAACCGUAAGGUGAUGUAUAGGGGCUGACGCCUGCCCGGUGCUGGAAGGUUAAGAGGAGUGGUUAGCUUCUGCGAAGCUACGAAUCGAAGCCCCAGUAAACGGCGGCCGUAACUAUAACGGUCCUAAGGUAGCGAAAUUCCUUGUCGGGUAAGUUCCGACCCGCACGAAAGGCGUAACGAUUUGGGCACUGUCUCAACGAGAGACUCGGUGAAAUCAUAGUACCUGUGAAGAUGCAGGUUACCCGCGACAGGACGGAAAGACCCCGUGGAGCUUUACUGUAGCCUGAUAUUGAAAUUCGGCACAGCUUGUACAGGAUAGGUAGGAGCCUUUGAAACGUGAGCGCUAGCUUACGUGGAGGCGCUGGUGGGAUACUACCCUAGCUGUGUUGGCUUUCUAACCCGCACCACUUAUCGUGGUGGGAGACAGUGUCAGGCGGGCAGUUUGACUGGGGCGGUCGCCUCCUAAAAGGUAACGGAGGCGCUCAAAGGUUCCCUCAGAAUGGUUGGAAAUCAUUCAUAGAGUGUAAAGGCAUAAGGGAGCUUGACUGCGAGACCUACAAGUCGAGCAGGGUCGAAAGACGGACUUAGUGAUCCGGUGGUUCCGCAUGGAAGGGCCAUCGCUCAACGGAUAAAAGCUACCCCGGGGAUAACAGGCUUAUCUCCCCCAAGAGUUCACAUCGACGGGGAGGUUUGGCACCUCGAUGUCGGCUCAUCGCAUCCUGGGGCUGUAGUCGGUCCCAAGGGUUGGGCUGUUCGCCCAUUAAAGCGGUACGCGAGCUGGGUUCAGAACGUCGUGAGACAGUUCGGUCCCUAUCCGUCGUGGGCGUAGGAAAUUUGAGAGGAGCUGUCCUUAGUACGAGAGGACCGGGAUGGACAUACCUCUGGUGUACCAGUUGUCGUGCCAACGGCAUAGCUGGGUAGCUAUGUGUGGACGGGAUAAGUGCUGAAAGCAUCUAAGCAUGAAGCCCCCCUCAAGAUGAGAUUUCCCAACUUCGGUUAUAAGAUCCCUCAAAGAUGAUGAGGUUAAUAGGUUCGAGGUGGAAGCAUGGUGACAUGUGGAGCUGACGAAUACUA